UAUAUUUAAGAGUAUAUAUAUAUGUAUAGUACCGGUAAUAAAAUAAGGUAAUAAAAUACCUCAGAGUAUUCAGUUAUAGAAAUGUAUAAUUAUAUUUUACAGGGUUGUUGACAUUUGCAUAAAGCCCUAUUUUUGUGAGCAUUGCAUUGCGCAUUAGAGGAAUAUAAAAAGGCUAAUUCGUACUUAUUAGCUUGUGCAUUGUAACAAUUUUUUAAUACUUCUUGAAUGUACCAGUCGCACAGCGAUUCCAAUCUAUCAACAGUUGUCUGUAUCAUAUUUUCACAAUUAAUAACGGAAGAGAAACUUGUUAUUUAUAUUGCUCUUAUCACUUUAUCUCUGAUACUAUAUUUAAAAAAGAAAAAUUUUUUAAAUUAUCUCUGCUUACCUGAGCAAUAACUAAUCCAUGAUUUGAAUUACUAGCAGUGACAUGGCUGUGCGAAUCAAAUAAUGUUACCUACAAAUAAAAUUAUUCUACAUAUGCAUAUAAUUUAUACUUUUUUUCUCUUUCUUACUUUAUAGGUAAUUUCUUGAAAUAUGAAUAAUAUAGUACGUCCGCACGUGAUGAGCAGCAUAAAUAGAGUAUGAGAUCUUGGGAUUUUAUACCACUCGUAUAGAAAUGUAUUUAUAUUCUUGUACAAACUUGUUUCUAUUUCUUCGUGAAAGACAUUGAAUUUCUGCGAUAAUAAGAAUUUUUAUACUGAAUAUUAUAUAUAAUUUGUCUUGAAUAUUAUUAGCAUGCGUUGUUUACCCAUUCUUUUAAUAUGUUUAAGCUUUUGCCCCCAUAUUUCAGAGCUUCUUCGGUACUCAAAUAUGGAUGUGAUAUAAGUCUUUCCUUAAUUAGCCACGCAUGAGUUACAUUACCCUCUAUCAUCGCUUCUGCUAUGAUGAUAUUCAAUCUCGGACAGUUUUCUAUAUCGUGGAUCAAUAAAUGUCCUCUUGAUAUUCGUACAGCCACGAGCAAACAUAUCAGUGUACAAGCUUCGCUUACUAAAGGAUUAUUCAUUAUUUAUUACAGGAUUAUUCGACACAAAAAAAUUAUAGAGUGAUGCUUAAUUACUUUCUUGUCCUGGUGGAUAACGGCUUUGUGUAAAAUCCGGAUGAUACCAUAACACAUCUACUUCGUGAUUAGAACAAUCUUUUACAUAUGUUGGGAAAUGACAGCUAAAUAGUGGUGAUUUUAUAUUUCCAUUUAAAAAAAAAAGGUUUGAAAUUAUUUAAGACAUUUUGGAUGCCAAAAUUUUGUACAAUAGUACAGUUUAUGUGUUUGUGUUUUAGGCUAAAAUAAUUGAAUAUCAAGGAUAGUGUGUUCAAUGAAUACAAAUUAAGUAAUUAUUUGUAGCAAUCAA
Non-coding RNA from Nylanderia fulva, 1346 nucleotides. Lineage: Eukaryota; Metazoa; Arthropoda; Insecta; Hymenoptera; Formicidae. The record is from RefSeq and is a predicted model, not a curated record.